UUUUGUUUUUGAAGGGUUCUCUUCUCUCAGUUUUGAGACAAUUUGCUUGCUUGAAGAGUGACAAGCAAGCAAUUUCUGUGGGAUUUGUGGGAUAUUUCAAUGUUGGGAAGUCAUCAGUUAUCAACACAUUGCGAACAAAAACUGUUUGCAAGGUUGCUCCUAUCCCUGGGGAAACUAAAGUAUGGCAAUCUAUCACACUUACAAAGAGGAUUUUCUUAAUUGAUUGUCCUGGGGUUGUUUAUCAAAACAACCAUGACACCGAAACAGAUAUUGUGUUGAAGGGAGUGGUUCGUGUCACAAACUUGGAAGAUGCUUCAGAACACAUAGGAGAAGUUUUGACUCGUGUUAAGAAAGAGCGCCUAGAAAGAGCUUACAAGAUAAAAGACUGGUACUAUCUUUGUUAAGGUGUUUACUGUAUCCAUGUUGAAUC
Cannabis sativa is the source of this 430-nucleotide long non-coding RNA. RefSeq lists it as uncharacterized. The transcript has 3 exons. NCBI's taxonomy places the organism in Eukaryota, Viridiplantae, Streptophyta, Magnoliopsida, Rosales, Cannabaceae. The record is from RefSeq and is a predicted model, not a curated record.